CUUCCAAUGGAUCUUUGUUCAUCUCCUUUCUUAUGAUGUUAUGGAGAAGACAUCAUGCCAUAAUGAUUCGUUUUUGUAUCUUAUCAGGAAGAAAGGGCUCCUUAGAAUUGCCCAACAUGGCUUAAAGCUAGCAGACCAAACAUCUCUCUUACAUGUUUCAAGCUGCUGAAUGCUUUAGUUUAAAAUCUCCAGCAUAUUUGGUUGAUACCCUUCCCUUGAUAAAUUUAAAUGAUACCAUCGCCCUCUCAAUGGUACAAGGAAUCCCUUUCCAUUCAUGUAUCUAGCA
Molecule: long non-coding RNA, 286 nt
Filed under: Elaeis guineensis (African oil palm)
Lineage: Eukaryota; Viridiplantae; Streptophyta; Magnoliopsida; Arecales; Arecaceae
Description: long non-coding RNA (EGUI_LNC069962)
Source: RNAcentral